CCCCCCUCCCCCAUCCCGAUUCCCAACUCUCCAUUCCUCUUUUUGUUGCCAAGCCAUUGCUGCCAGACUAGGCGUCAUUGUACUUCACCACGCCAAGAGGUCCACCCGUAUCUCUCUCAAGCUCUCAUUUUCCCUUCUUCCAUGCCUCUCUCUCUCUCUCUAACUCUCUGUUGAUCUCUCCAUUCCGAUAUUAGUUCCCUGGGUGACCAACGUAGGCCGCUGAAGCCAACACACCGCCCCGCCACCAAGGGUACCUCGAGUGUCCCUAGACAGCACCACCUCACUCUCGAAUUCAAUGGGUCCAUCGCAACAAGCUUCGGAAGUUUAUUAGUUAGAUCAAAGCCGCUGCGGAGUGGUCCAGCAAUUAAAGUUAGAAGAGCAGCCCUCUAUUCACACGGCGACAUGUAGGCAAAAACACUAUAAACGAGUUAGACCUCCUCACACAGAAUCACCACAAGCAAGUCAUAGAAAUCGUGUUCUCCCAGCUCUCACAGGCUCUUUUUGUCUUCGUCUCCAAGCUCUCAAGCCAUUCUCUUUGCACUGCCACAAAGCCUGCCGCCCAAGAUGAAGCUCUGUUCCACCGCUACCAUCUCAGUCCGACGCUGACCAUCCAUUGCCUAGCUUGGUUUUUCAGACCACCUCACCCACACGGAUUGAGCACCAUCUCACCCACAAGUAUUUUACACCAUCGUCGACCACACAGAUUUCGCACCACCCCAGUCGGCAACUUACGGUUUUUCAUGGCUGAGAAAGGUGACCUUGGUGUUGCGCAGAUGAUGUGAAUGUCGAAAAUGGGGGCGAAUGUCGAAGAUGGAGUGAAUGUGGAUGGAGGAGUCUCUUCAAGUAGUGGUACUUUGGAGCUAUUCAUUGAUAUAGUAUUUGAGGAUGUGGAAGAUGCCUAAACAUUUUACAAGACAUAUGCAAGAAGAAAAAGUUUUGUAAUUCGGACGAAUCAUACUCGGUUGUCGAAAGAUGAUAAAACUCUUUAUGCAGUAAACUAUGUUUGCACAAGGGCAGGAUUCCGACGGAUUAGUCGGAAAGAAAAAAAUCGAACACUCCUUGAACCUGCCUAGACAGAUUGGAUGUAAAGUAAUAAUGAGAAUAAAAAAAGAUGGUGAAAAGUGGAUAGUUAACAAGUUUGUGGUUGAACAUAACCAUAUUCUACUUACACUGAGAAGUACUCAUUUGCUUCGUGGACAUAGGAGAGUUACUCAAGUUAAAAAAAAAAAACUGAUUAUGAUGUUAAAUGAGUCCGGUGUACCGACAAGGAAAAUUAUGUCGGUAUUGAGUAAAGAAUCAGGUGGUGAUUUUAAUGUUGGUUGUAUUGGCAAGGAUAUUGAAAAUUACUUGGGAACCAAAAUGAGAAAAGUAUUUGAAGAGGGUGAUGCACAAAUGUUACAUUCCUACUUUAUUGAUCGACAAUUCAAAGAACCUGGAUUUGUAUAUUCCAUACAAGUUGAUAAGGAUGGGUGUAAGAGAAGUUGUUUUUGAGCUGAUGCGCGAUCAAGAGCUGCAUACCAAUAUUUUGGAGAUGUUACAUUUGAUGUCACUUACCUGACCAAUAUUUAUAAGAUGCCAUUUGUGUCAUUUUCUGGAGUUAACCAUCAUCAUUAGACCAUAAUGUUUGGUUGUGUUUUGUUAGUUAAUGAAACGACUGAAUCAUAUACAUGGUUAUUGAGAACAUGGCAAGAGGCUAUGCUUGGGCGUGCCCCUUCAACUAUAAUUACCGAUGAUGACAAAAUGAUGGCUAAGGCCAUUAUAGAGACACUCCCGAGUACAACUCAUCGGUUGUACUUGUGGCACAUUUUACACAAGUUUCCCGAACAAUUGGCCUAUGUAUAUAACAAUUUAUGGACUUUCAGAAAGAAUUUCGUCAUUGCAUCUAUGAGACAAUUACAACUGAUGAGUUCGAGCAAGAAUGAGCUUCGAUAGUAGUGAACUAUGAGCUAGAAGAAAAUACUUGGCUGCAAAAUCUUUACAGCCGAUGGGAUAAGUGGGUACCGGCUUACUUGCGUUUGACAUUCUGUACCGGUAUGUCAACAACUCAAAUGAGUGAAAGCAUGAACAAAUUUUUUAAAGAUUAUGUUCGUUCAAGUAUUAUGGUUAGUGACUUCGUGCGUCAGUAUGAAAAAGCUAUAUAUGCAUGUUUUUUUAAAGAGAGAGAGAAAGAUGUCAGGACUAAAUCUACAUGGGCGAUAUUGAAGACACCUCUUAAAAUUGAAGAGGAGGCGGCAACGGUUUAUACAAAAAGUCUUUCAUGAUCUUCCAAUAUGAGCUGUUCGAUAGUUUACGGUACCAAGCAAGAAAAUUAUUUAAAGUGGGUGAAACCAAGACAUAUGGAGUGAUAGCUUAUGGUAAAGAAACACCUCUUUACCAUGUGACAUUGGAGGGUGAUGAAGGACAUGCAACAUGUACAUGCCAUAUGUGAGAGUUUAUGGAGAUUCUUUGUAGGCAUAUCUUGUGUGUUUUUGGCAAGAAAGCAAAGUUAGAUAGAUUGCCACAACAUUAUAUUCUAGAUAUAUGGACUAUUAAUGCUAAGAGUCGACCUAUUCCCAACAUAUCAUAUUCUGAAGGGCAAGUUUGACAAGGACAAGAUGAGCCUACGAUGAGAAAAAGCAAGUCAAUGAUACAACUUUAUGGCAGUGUCGAACUUGCAUCACAGUCAACAGAAAAACACAAUCACUUCACACUUGCAUUGGAAAAAGUUCACAAAGAAUUGCUUGUAAUGGAAGAUUAUGUAGAAUGUUCAGAAAGAGGGGAGGCAACCAAUGAUGAUCAAAUAUUAAAAAGUCAAGUUGUAUCGAACUUGUUUGGAACAACUGUUCUUCAGUAAGGGAUAUUGGGCAUACACCUGAGGUUGAGCGCACUAACUUGGAUGACUAAUGGAGGUUUGCUUAAGAGAGUUGUGAUGCUUUUGAAGGUUGUGAAGCUUUCUCGUUUUGAAGUUGAUGAGCUUUUGUGGAUUGAAGCUUCAUAUUUUUAGGAGUUUUGUGCAUUGACACUUGUGAAUCUUUGAGUUUGAACUUAUGUCUUUGGCACCAAUGUUAUGUACUUAUUGCUUAUUAAUUGAGGAAUUGAGAAUUGUAUGUAUAAAUUGAGGAAUUGGGAACCUGGAUUUUCCCAUCGAUUUGUGCCAUUUUGUUUAAUAAUUUGGAAUUAUAUGUAUAA
This is a long non-coding RNA of Juglans regia (Persian walnut), 3168 nucleotides long. RefSeq lists it as uncharacterized. The transcript is spliced from 6 exons. NCBI's taxonomy places the organism in Eukaryota, Viridiplantae, Streptophyta, Magnoliopsida, Fagales, Juglandaceae. The record is from RefSeq and is a predicted model, not a curated record.